RNAcentral lists this ribosomal RNA (424 nucleotides) under uncultured Bacteroides sp. RNAcentral describes it as "bacterial SSU rRNA". It matches the Rfam family "Bacterial small subunit ribosomal RNA", at positions 355 to 776 of the family's 1533-position model. The record is from RNAcentral. Lineage: Bacteria; Pseudomonadati; Bacteroidota; Bacteroidia; Bacteroidales; Bacteroidaceae.
UGAGGAAUAUUGGUCAAUGGCCGCAAGGCUGAACCAGCCAAGUAGCGUGAAGGAUGACCGCCCUACGGGUCGUAAACUUCUUUUAUAAAGGAAUAAAGGCGUCCACGUGUGGAUGUUUGCAUGUACUUUAUGAAUAAGCAUCGGCUAACUCCGUGCCAGCAGCCGCGGUAAUACGGAGGAUGCGAGCGUUAUCCGGAUUUAUUGGGUUUAAAGGGAGCGCAGACGGGCUGUUAAGUCAGCUGUGAAAUGCCGCGGCUCAACCGUGGACCUGCAGUUGAUACUGGCGGCCUUGAGUGCGGUUGAGGCAGGCGGAAUUCGUGGUGUAGCGGUGAAAUGCUUAGAUAUCACGAAGAACCCCGAUUGCGAAGGCAGCCUGCCAAUCCGUUACUGACGUUCAUGCUCGAAGGUGCGGGUAUCAAACAGG